RNAcentral lists this ribosomal RNA (252 nucleotides) under uncultured bacterium. Its description in RNAcentral is "partial 16S ribosomal RNA". It matches the Rfam family "Bacterial small subunit ribosomal RNA", at positions 524 to 776 of the family's 1533-position model. The record is from RNAcentral.
UACGUAAGGUCCGAGCGUUGUCCGGAAUCAUUGGGCGUAAAGGGUACGUAGGCGGAUACGCAAGUUAGAAGUGAAAUCCUAUAGCUCAACUAUAGUAAGCUUUUAAAACUGCGAAUCUUGAGGGAUGGAAGGGAAAGGGGAAUUCCUAGUGUAGCGGUGAAAUGCGUAGAUAUUAGGAGGAAUACCGGUGGCGAAGGCGACUUUCUGGUCAUAAACUGACGCUGAGGUACGAAAGCGUGGGGAGCAAACAGG